This 309-nucleotide long non-coding RNA is filed under the name Arabidopsis lyrata. RNAcentral describes it as "long non-coding RNA (ALYR_LNC000886)". The record is from RNAcentral. Lineage: Eukaryota; Viridiplantae; Streptophyta; Magnoliopsida; Brassicales; Brassicaceae.
CGAGUUACAACAACCAAACCUUGAUCAACGACGACAAAUAAAAGAGAUCGAUAUUUCUUGUUCAUUUAAGGGUAAAUUAUCAAAUUUUCAAAAAAUAGGUAAUUUAGAUUACCUAGCUGGGAGGGUUUCCCCCGUGUUGAUUUAUGCAUCAACGUGUUGAGUCCCGUGUUGAUUUAUUUAAAGCCGCUUUUAAGGAGAGAAACAAACUUUCCUUCUCCACUGGUACCAAUUAGAUCCUCGAACCCUGGUGGAAUCCUCCACACCAGCCCCAUGAAGACUGAUUACCACUUUUACUGGGCCCGAAUUGGU